UACGUAGGGUGCGAGCGUUAAUCGGAAUUACUGGGUGUAAAGGGUGCGCAGGCGGACUGGUUAGUCUGGGGUGAAAUCUCAUCGCUCAACGGUGAAACUGCCUUAGAUACUGCCAGUCUUGAAUUAGGGAGAGGUUCGUGGAAUUCCGAGUGUAGCAGUGAAAUGUGUAGAUAUUCGGAAGAACACCAGUGGCGAAGGCAGCGAACUGGCCCUUAAUUGACGCUCAGGCACGAAAGCAUGGGGAUCAAACAGG
Molecule: ribosomal RNA, 253 nt
Filed under: uncultured bacterium
Lineage: Bacteria
Description: partial 16S ribosomal RNA
Rfam family: Bacterial small subunit ribosomal RNA
Source: RNAcentral